UUGGCGGUGGCGGCCGCGUAGGCAUCUCCCUCCCUGCGCGCCGCCUGACAGCCUGGGAGAGAAGCGCCCUCAGGGAGACAUGUUGGGCUGCGUUUCUCUUCAUCCACCCAUCCCUCCGUUCAUGACAUGCUGCUCCAUUAUCUUCUUGGGCUUGCUGCUAGGGAAACCCCAGGACCUUAUAAUCCAUAGGCAGAAGAGACCCAUAGAUGAUUGUCCUCUGGAAUCUUCCAAAAGAGUCUGGGAAGCUUCUCCAGAGACUGGGGACACCAAAGGAUUGGAAGACAGGAGGUGAGACAGCAGAGGCAUGGCGAUGAUCCACACUUUGCCCAAGGUCACAGGUUGGAUACAGCAGAGCUGGAUUGGAGUCUCGGUUACCUGGAACAACCUGGUUAAGUCAGUCUCACCCAAAGGUUUCAAGUGCAAAGCCCUGGCCUUCCACCGUCUUCCCAUAACCCAGGUCUGUAUCCUGUCCCUUCCCUCCCCUGCACCUGGCAUUGCACAGAAGGUGUGGGUGGCAAUGUCCCCUAAAAGCUUUUGCAAGGCUUAGCUUCCUGCUGUGCCGUCUGUACCUCUGUGAGUAAAGGCAAAAUGUCAAGAAAAGGAUUCAAUUGUCUUGUAUCUAAAACCAGGUAUUUUCUUUCAGGUAACCCUGAAAAUUCAGAGAUUCAUAAUUUGAUCAUCUAUGUAUUUUUUCCCAGGAAAGGCACUGAACGGGUUACAUGUGCAGAUCUUUGGAUAUAAUCUAUUGGAGAAAGGAUCUGGCUGAUGAUGCCAGCACCUAGCACAAGCCCUGGAUGAGAAUAAUGGGGCACUACAAGAUGAACAGAGAGAGGGAUUGGCGGUGGGCGGAGGGAAGGGAUGCAAACAAUUAUGGCCAAGAAGUCACCUUAGGGGAAAAACCUAAGAAGAAUUUUGUCUUGCAAAAGAGAAGGAAGCCUAUAGAGAGAGUGGAAGUGGGCGUGAGGGGAGAGGCUGAAAGAGAGACAGAGGGAAAAAGGACAAAGGAGGACAGGAAAAUAGCCAAUAAAGCAGACACGAGAAAAAGGGAGAGAUGAGAGAGAAACAGGAGAGGACAAGGAGACAAGAAGCAGAGAGGCAAGGGACAGGGGCAGCAAUGGAACUCAGAGAGGACAUGGGAGCGAGCUGGAGGAAGCUGACAGAGGGAAGGGAAGAACACGCCCCGCCGCCGUCAAAGGCAGGACUCAAGAACGCUGCCCUUCGUGGAAGUGAGAUGGGCCCCGCUGCCUGCGCCCGCUUGCUCUCAGUCUUGGCCGACCUGAGCGCGCGUCUCUCCCGGGCUCUCAGGCGGCGCACAGGGAGGAGGUGCAGACGCCGCCCCCACCGCCCAGCCCAGCGCGCGGCUCUGAACUUGGCGCCAGCGCCCUGAGGACACCAAGUCCCGCCUUCCUGGCUGCACCCGCCUUCGGGGCGGGGCUUGCAGUUGGGCGGCCCCGGCGGGUAGGGCGCCGCGGGCCAGAGUAACCGCAACCCAGGAGCAAGCUCCCUGCUGAUCUGCCGGGCGGCCCGGCCCUACUCCGGCUCAGCUCCCUGGAGCCGCCCCCAGCUGGCUCGGACCAGGACCGGCCCUGCAGGAGGGCGAGGGCGUCCUUUGGAAGCGGUGCCCGCUCUCGCUGCCGCCCUCUGACCCUGGGCGCCCGGACCUCUGGCUCCUGGGCCUGCCGGACCUCAGCGAUAGGCGAGGGCUGCGCCCGGUGCCUGCGGCUCCCUCAGCGCCGUGGACCCCCGCGGCCUGCCGGCCCUCCUUACCUCACUGAGGCGGGAGAAUCGCUUGAACCCGGGAGGCAGAGGUUGCGGUGAGCCGAGACGCGCCAUUGCACUCCAGCCUGGGCAACAAGAGAGGCCUGGCGGCCCCGCUAGCGGCACCUCCCCCGCAUCCGAAACGCUCAGCUCCUCCCAGGAGCACCCGCGGCCUUCGCUUCCCAGGCCCCAGCUGUGACCCGCAGGAAGGCGGGCUCGGCGACCCCGGAACGUAGAGGUGUCUGGGAAGUUAGCUGUUCCCGGAGUACGGUGGGAGGGGCCCAGGGUAGAAAAUGACAGUUCAAGUGCCUUAAAAUUAAGAAUUUAGGCGUUGUUUAAAAAACGAUAAAUGGAGUGAAAAAAUCAAGCCACACCGUAAAAGAAGAUAUUUGCAGCAAGUGAUAAAGGAUUAAUAUCCAGAAUAUAUAAAGACUGUUACUGAAUCAAUGUGAAAGAGAAAAACACCUAAAGCAAAGACAUCUAAAGCCAAGACAUCUAAAGCCGUCAUUAGGCACUUCAAAGAGGAACCAUGAACGACCAAAAUCAAGUGAGUAGGUGACCAGUUCCCAUUAGUAAUUAGGAAAUCGCAAAUUAAGACCACAAAGAGGGUAGUGAGGGUGGCUCACACCUCUCAUCUCAGCGUUUGGGAGUCCAAGGCCAGAGGAUCCCUUGAGGCCAGGAGUUGGAGACUAGUCUGGGAAACAUAGCAAGACCCUGUCUCUACAAAAAAUAAAAAUAAAUAAAAAAGUAAAUCACAAGGAGAUGACUAACCACCAGGCAAAAAUGUUAAAGUAUGCUAAUAUCAACUGUCAAGAGGAAUAUGAAGCAAGAUAGCUCAAAUACGCUUUUGAAGGAAACAUACCAGGCUUCAUUCAUUCCGAAAUGCCCCUUAUUUAAGAUACUCCGUUAUAUUAAAUACAAUUCCAAAACAAAAAAAUCAAAUAACAAAAAACCAAACUAACCCAAUACUUUUUAUCACUGGUAAUUUGUAUGUUACACAUAUUGAAGGAUAUGUUUUAGAUUCAUUAGAGAAGGAUUUUUAAUCGUAUAUCACUCUUGUGCAUACAAAAUAAAAUUAAGAUGUUUCUUA
Molecule: non-coding RNA, 2848 nt
Organism: Macaca mulatta (Rhesus monkey)
Lineage: Eukaryota; Metazoa; Chordata; Mammalia; Primates; Cercopithecidae
Source: RefSeq, a predicted model, not a curated record